GACGAACGCUGGCGGCGUGCCUAAUACAUGCAAGUAGAACGCUGAAGGAGGAGCUUGCUCUUCUGGAUGAGUUGCGAACGGGUGAGUAACGCGUAGGUAACCUGCCUGGUAGCGGGGGAUAACUAUUGGAAACGAUAGCUAAUACCGCAUAAUAGUAGAUGUUGCAUGACAUUUGCUUAAAAGGUGCAAUUGCAUCACUACCAGAUGGACCUGCGUUGUAUUAGCUAGUUGGUGAGGUAACGGCUCACCAAGGCAACGAUACAUAGCCGACCUGAGAGGGUGAUCGGCCACACUGGGACUGAGACACGGCCCAGACUCCUACGGGAGGCAGCAGUAGGGAAUCUUCGGCAAUGGACGGAAGUCUGACCGAGCAACGCCGCGUGAGUGAAGAAGGUUUUCGGAUCGUAAAGCUCUGUUGUAAGAUAAGAACGAGU
RNAcentral lists this ribosomal RNA (434 nucleotides) under Streptococcus sp. oral taxon 064. Its description in RNAcentral is "bacterial SSU rRNA". It matches the Rfam family "Bacterial small subunit ribosomal RNA", at positions 28 to 454 of the family's 1533-position model. The record is from RNAcentral. Lineage: Bacteria; Bacillati; Bacillota; Bacilli; Lactobacillales; Streptococcaceae.